Molecule: long non-coding RNA, 284 nt
Filed under: Populus trichocarpa (black cottonwood)
Lineage: Eukaryota; Viridiplantae; Streptophyta; Magnoliopsida; Malpighiales; Salicaceae
Description: long non-coding RNA (PTRI_LNC001261)
Source: RNAcentral
GUCAAUUGGGUUACCCGGAGUGAAGGUAGUUGGAAUGAUCAUGGUGCAUCCAUUUUUUGGUGGUACCGAGGAUGACAAGAUGUGGUUAUACAUGUGCCCAAGUAAUAGUGGGUUGGAUGAUCCCAGGCUGAAUCCAGGAUUAGAAGAUCUUGCUAGGCUUGGCUGUGAGAGGGUGUUGAUCUUUGUGGCUGAGAAAGACAGCUUAAUUGCUGUAGGAAGGAACUAUUACGAGAAGUUGAAGAAGAGUGGAUGGAAGGGAAGCGUUGAAAUUGUUGAGAAUGAAG